This 328-nucleotide unclassified non-coding RNA is filed under the name soil metagenome. RNAcentral describes it as "partial contains 5.8S ribosomal RNA, internal transcribed spacer 2, and large subunit ribosomal RNA". The stretch from base 1 to 120 matches the Rfam family "5.8S ribosomal RNA", at positions 35 to 154 of the family's 154-position model. The record is from RNAcentral.
GAUGAAGAACGCAGCGAAAUGCGAUAAGUAAUGUGAAUUGCAGAAUUCAGUGAAUCAUCGAAUCUUUGAACGCACAUUGCGCCCCUUGGUAUUCCGAGGGGCAUGCCUGUUCGAGCGUCAUUAUAACCCUCAAGCUCAGCUUGGUGUUGGGGCCUGCUGCACUGGCAGCCCUUAAAAUCAGUGGCGGCGCCAUCUGGCUCUAAGCGUAGUAAUUCUUCUCGCUAUGGAGUCCUGGUGGAUGCUUGCCAUCAACCCCCAAUUUUUCUAUGGUUGACCUCGGAUCAGGUAGGGAGACCCGCUGCACUUAAGCAUAUCAAUAAGCGGAGGA